RNAcentral lists this long non-coding RNA (1145 nucleotides) under Monodelphis domestica (gray short-tailed opossum). Its description in RNAcentral is "lncRNA (ENSMODG00000038842.1)". The record is from RNAcentral. Lineage: Eukaryota; Metazoa; Chordata; Mammalia; Didelphimorphia; Didelphidae.
GUGAUAAUUUUUAUAUCAUGUCACUUGUAUUUGACUGUUAAAUACAUUUAAAUACUUUCUAUAUAGUCCAAUUGAUACUGAUUAAUUGAAAUGCCUAAAUUCUUCAUAGAAUGGUGAUGUACCCAGUGCAAUCCCUGAAAAGUAGGACUUAAUCAUAGAAACCAAAAAAGCCUAUUCCUCAUAAUAUCAGUUCAUCUUGCAUUAUCAUUGUGCAACUGUCUCUGGGCUAAAUUGACCUUCAAAAUCUCAUAGUGGUGCUAUGAUGAAAUCUAAGGGUCCCCCAAUACCCAUACUGUGAAUUUCAAAACUACUCCACCCUAUUCAGACCAUUCUUUAGAAGAUGGGAUUUAGCUAUUUCCUGAUCAAUAACAAUUGAGAUACUUGUAAUAACAGAAUCAGGUCUUGGAAACUACAAUCUCCACCCUACUCAAUGUAACAAGAUCAGCAAGGGCUACAGCAAAACUCAAGAUUUAAUUAUUUGAGAAUAUGGCCUUCAACAGACAUGUGCAAAAAGGACAGACCUCUGGGCAGUCCUGGGUGAAGCUAGAGCCACCAUUGGCACAUGUCAGACCCAGGAAGUGAGGUAGAGGUCAGCUCAGGAGUUCUGGGGACUUCCUGUGUGGAAGGAAAAAGGUUGUUGGAGCCUGGUGCUUGAGGUGGAGGAGCCCACAGACUGUUUCUCCAUCUUGGUCACUUGACAUAAUGGAGGUUCCACUGAGAUCUGAAGUCCCGGCUGCCUGAGCCCUCCUGCUAACCAGGACCCCGAGACUUGAGCUUGACAAUUCCUUGAGAGUUGAAGAAAAUGUUGAGAGUUGAAGAAACUUGGGAAUGGAAAAGUCUGAGGAAAUUUAGAAGUAACCAAGAGACAAAAGAAUCUUCAUGCAAUCUUCUUAGUAAAUAUAAUAAGACAUGGAAUAUAAGGAGACCCAGUAGGUGAGGAACCUAGAAGGUAGAGGCUGGAUAUUUUGCCCAAACUCAUACAGCAGAAAUGGCAUAUGAACUCCCAUGUUUCUAUUACCAAGUAUUUCACCUCAUCAACUACUAUUAUGCCAUUUUACAUCACUUCCUUCCCAGAUUUAUGAUAGAACUAAACCAUUAUCAUACAAAUGAAUAAAAGCUAUCAGAGCCAAGGAAUUCCUGUAACA